This is a non-coding RNA of Pleurotus ostreatoroseus, 101 nucleotides long. NCBI's taxonomy places the organism in Eukaryota, Fungi, Basidiomycota, Agaricomycetes, Agaricales, Pleurotaceae. The record is from the annotation of a GenBank genome assembly.
GCCCGCGUAGCUCAAUCGGAUAGAGCGUGAGACUUUUAGGACACCUCCUAAGAGUACGCGUAGGCAUCUCAAGGUUGCGAGUUCGACCCUCGCCGUGGGCU